CCUACGGGUGGCAGCAGUGGGGAAUAUUGCACAAUGGGGGAAACCCUGAUGCAGCGACGCCGCGUGAGUGUAGAAGUAUUUCGGUCUGUAAAGCUCUAUCAGCCGGGAAGAAAUAUUGUCCUUUCGGUCAGCACACGGUACCCGACUAAGAAGCCACGGCUAACUACGUGCCAGCAGCCGCGGUAAUACGUAGGGGGCAAGCGUUUUCCGGAUUUACUGGGUGUAAAGGGAGCGUAGACGGUAGCGCAAGUUUGAGGGGAAACCCCAUGGCCUAACCAGGGAACUGCUUUUGAAACUGUGCAGCUGGAGUGCAGGAGAGGUAAGCGGAAUGCGUGGUGUAGCGGUGAAAUGCGUAGAUAUUAGGAGGAACACCGGCGGCGAAGGCAGCCUGCUAGACUGAAACUGACGUUGAGGCUCGAAAGCGUGGGGAGCAAACAGGAUUAGAUACCCUGGUAGUC
RNAcentral lists this ribosomal RNA (458 nucleotides) under uncultured bacterium. Its description in RNAcentral is "partial 16S ribosomal RNA". It matches the Rfam family "Bacterial small subunit ribosomal RNA", at positions 338 to 795 of the family's 1533-position model. The record is from RNAcentral.